This 92-nucleotide transfer RNA is filed under the name Pseudozyma flocculosa. It matches the Rfam family "tRNA". From Rfam's summary of the family: Transfer RNA (tRNA) molecules are approximately 80 nucleotides in length. Their secondary structure includes four short double-helical elements and three loops (D, anti-codon, and T loops). RNAcentral also lists the same sequence under 1 other name. The record is from Rfam by way of RNAcentral. Lineage: Eukaryota; Fungi; Basidiomycota; Ustilaginomycetes; Ustilaginales; Ustilaginaceae.
GCCUUAUUAGCUCAGUGGUAGAGCGCGUCACUAGUAAAUAACCUGGGUCCGCGGUCAUGACGAGGUCAGUCGUUCAAAUCGGCUAUGAGGCA